Chinchilla lanigera (long-tailed chinchilla) is the source of this 3467-nucleotide long non-coding RNA. Lineage: Eukaryota; Metazoa; Chordata; Mammalia; Rodentia; Chinchillidae. The record is from Ensembl.
CACAGCCACUCAGGGCCAUCCAUACAGACAGAGGCUUCAUGGCCACUGUGGCUGAUGUCCAAGGUUUGAUACAGUGGAGAUCUAACAUCUACAAGGAAGAAGUGGGGCUGGGGGCAAGCUGGAGUCACACUGCAUCAUCUGUGGGGAGGACCCCGCGCUUCCCACUUGAUUCUCAUUCAGAUACUUUUCCUCAGAUGGCUCAAGCAAGUCUGGUCCAGGAGGGCUCACAGCAUGGUCUGAAGUUCAGGGUGGUGACCCUCAAGGCAGUGGUCACUAUCAUGUGGUUCUGUUCAGCAGACUGCCUGCACAAUAGGAGCAGCCCCCAGUGGGUAGUCAAAACCAGUCAGGCAUAAGGGGCAGAAAACUUUCUCACCAAGAAAAUCCUUGGGAAUUUCACUGAGAAAACCUGUACUAUUUAAACAGAAAGAGCUUUAAUGCAAGAAAGAUGGAGACAUUAAUUGACUGGAGAGACUUGAUUUGUGCUCCUCAGCAGGGUGGGGACUCCUGAGGUACUUAAAUCACCAAAAGAAAAGGAAGACUCAAAAAGAAAGAAUGAGGGAAACAAAAGGGAGAAGGAAAGGGGAAAAGGAGGGAGAGUAGAAGGAAGGAAGGAAGGAAGGGAAGGAGGGAGGGAGGGAAGGAGGGAUAAAAAAAGAAAAAAGAAAGAAAGGAAGGAAGGGAAGAAAGAAAGAAAACAAAAAUGAAGGAAAGGCAGAAGGAGAGAGAAAGCAAGCUAGCUCUUUUGGGGACCUCCUUUUAAAAUGUGCUGUCAUUACUCUGAACCCACAGUUUUGCUGUGACCCAUCUGCUAAUGAUCUUCCACCACAUAUACAUUUAUUUUAUUUAAGGAGCUGUUUCCUCUGCUUCCUGCAAGGUAUUUUCUUGAAAUAGUUUCCACAGAACCAGAAACAAACUCUUUGGCCUAAAGGAAAUGUCAAAUCCAGUCCACACGAAUGGAGGAAUAGGGUUAGAUUAUUUACAUUUGCACAGGAUUUACUUUUACUUAGAGAGGGAGAAAAAUUCUCAUUGCUUUUACAGGGUUUGUUGUGUUGGACUAAUUUGCUUUUUUCUUUGUCUUCCUCUUCUUUGAAAGGAAGCACUGAGGGGUUAAGUAACAGUCUAAGAACACUUGAGACAGCUAGCUAAUGCAUCUGGUUUGUUGCCACAGAUCCUGUGUAUAAUAAUAUUCCAAGAAGGGCUGGGGAUUUAGCUCAGCGGCAAAAGCGCCUGCCUGGCAAGCGCAAGGUCGUGAGUUCGGUUCUCGGUACUGGAGAAAAACCAAAAAAAAAAAAAAAAAAAAAAAAUUCCAAGAAGUGACAAUAACUAAGAAAAGAAAGAAUUAAAAUUAAUAGUAUUUAGCAACUACAGUUGGUUAAUAAAGUUGCUUUUUUAAAAAAGAGAGGGGUUAUUGCUUAGGCCUAAAGAAAAAUAUAAUAGUCACACUGAUGUUCAAAGCUAAUGACACCUGUAAUUUUAACACACUCUGAUGUAAGCUUCAUUGUCAAGUUGUUUAAGAAAACAAGAGUCAAUCUCCAUUUAGAGUGACCUGUGGCAGGGUGUGAGGAUCAGAGGAACCAAAGCAGGAUUCAGUGUGUCCCUCUCCUGUGCCACUGAGCUACGGGCUCCGCACGUCCCGAGAGAGGGAGGCUCAGAUGAGGUCACUGGGAUUAGGCACACAAGCUAAUGGGCUUCUUAAUUGUUCCAAAGGGUCCUGUGAUUCGGCUGGAAGCCAGCACACUUCAGACAGCAAAGCCUCUCAAUUAGGUCCAGUCUGGAUGCCAAGUUGCUCAGCAAGAGCAUGUGAAAGGCCUUCUUUUGACUUUUGAUCAAGUUCAUUUGAAAUCUUUGCCAUGAGACCUUGAAAAUCACCAUCAAAAAUAUGUCUGGAAUGUCUCAUACCUGGGAAGUACUAGCUCUCGGUAGCUGUUCUUGACAUAGAGCUUAUGACCAAUGGGUUCACCAUGUUCCCAAGUAAACGGAUUCAAAACAAAACAUUGCGGUGGAACUGGGGGUCACAGGACACCCAUUUACAUUUACCAGCAGAGCUGAGCUCCCAGUGUCGGAGGGAGGGAAGCUUCCGGACACCUCUGUGUGGGUGUGGAGCCCAACACAUGGUACAUACUUAAUGAAGGGCCGUAGACUUGGGUGGGUAAAUUAGCAGACUUCUUAAGGCAGUGGACUGUGCACCAAGCAAACAAACAAACAAACAGGAGUCUAAUGUAGGCCUCUCCCCAUCCUAUUUUCCCAGUUACCCAUGGUGAGGCCUGAAAUGUUUGUGCUUCUGAUGGCAGAAGAGCUUUUCUUCACCCUGGGCAACCCAGCUUAGUGGCAGUGCGCCUGCUCUGUGGAAGUCGUCCAAGCCCUCCUGCUUUGCCCUGCUCGUUUGUGUGGAGAAGUGAAGGCGCUGGCUGGGAUCAGAGAACUGCAGAGAAGGGAUUUCACUUCAGUGCACUGUGUUUUCUCUUUAAGUACAAAGAGUUUGACUAACAGUACUACCAAUACUUGGUGUUCAGAGCCUCUUUGUCUUCUCUACUGAGUUUCUUUAUGAUGAUAAUACAUGGCGAACCCACAGUCCAGAAGGAUUCAGACCUCCUCUCUUCAGGACAUGGUAGAUGCCAUGGAGCCACAAACAGCAGAUAAAGGCCUGAGCUCCGGACGAGAGUCAGGGCGGACUGCGGAGUUUCUGUGACCCCCACGCACUGUCCUCGGGCUGCCCUGCCGAGCUCCCCCACACGGAGCAAAAGUGCGGGGACUCAGAUGUCAGCCGUGAAGAGGUGGCGAGCGUCACUGUAAACAUGUACAUUUAUACAUUUAAUCAAUACUUGCAAACUCACAUCUACCAGGAUCAAAACUGAUGUGGAGCAGGUGUCAUAUGAAAGAAGUGGUAGAGGUUGCAGCAGAAUGAUGAACUUCUGCCUGUUCCAGAGUUCGGCAUGGUUCAAAUUCCUCCAGACACACAUCCACAUGGGUACACACACACACACACACACACACACACACACACACACACUGCAGUAUCUAUAUGUAGCCCUUUGAUCAUUAUUUUUAAUCCAGGAGUCCUACCAUAAUGUUUCAUUUAGUUUUUUUUUUUAAGUAGGAGUCAAGCUUGGAUCUAUUUACUGUCAUGUGAAAAUUUAAAUCAGCAUCAUUUCAAAAAUCCUAGGGACUCAGCCAACCAAAGAAGGACUUUCUUACCCAUUCCUGAGAAAACUCAGUCCACUGCCGUCGUGCCCAGGCCAGCCUCAGCUCCACCUCCGCCUGCCGCCCUCUCUCUGAGCUCCCCUGGGAGGAAAGAGCCCCCACGAAGGCUCCCGGGGUUCUGAGAGAAGCCGAGCCCCUUGGCAGCACGGAGCGGGGCUGGUGCUACCAAGGGUGAGAAAGUAACAAUGGAAAGAAAACUACGAGCAACAUUUAUGUGGAUUUUCCCCAUAACUUAUUCAAUAAACAAAUAUUUAAGUUGUCAUAUA